RNAcentral lists this ribosomal RNA (517 nucleotides) under uncultured bacterium. RNAcentral's name for it is "partial 16S ribosomal RNA". It matches the Rfam family "Bacterial small subunit ribosomal RNA", at positions 899 to 1397 of the family's 1533-position model. The record is from RNAcentral.
ACUCAAAUGAAUAGACGGGGACUCGCACAAGCGGUGGAUUAUGUGGUUUAAUUCGUCGGUAAACGAAGAACCUUACCAGGGUUAGAAAUCCUGUCGAAGGCACUGGGAAACCAGUGUCGUCCGCAAGGACGGCAGGACAGGUGAUGCAUGGCCGUCGUCAGUUCGUGGUUUGAAUUGUUCCCUUAAGUGGGCUAACGAACGCAACCCUCGUCGUCUGUUAUACGUGUCAGGCGAGACUGCCCAGCCCAAAGUGCACAAAGCAAUUUGCGCAUUUCGGGCUGGGAGGAAGGAGAGGAUGACGCCAGGUCAGCAUGUCCCUUUGAUAUCCUGGGCCACACACAUAAUACAAUGGUUGCUACAAUGGGCAGCGACGGAGCGAUCCUGAGCCAAUCCUAUAAAGGCAGCCCUAGUUCGGAUUGAAGUCUGCAACUCGACUUCAUGAAGCUGGAAUCGCUAGUAAUCGCAGGUCAGCCAAACUGCGGUGAAUACGUUCUCGAGUCUUGUACACACCGCCCGU